CGAGAGAGGUCCGAGGAGCGCGUUCUGAAGAAGAGGGCUCAGAUCCGCGAUGCUGCGGUGCGGCGAGAGCAGCGGCGGCGCCGGCGGCGGCACCAGGAACGGGCAGUGCAGCUCCUCCAGCUUCCCGCUGACCAUGCGGAAUCGCCCGUGGUUCUCGGGAAGACGGACGCCAGGAACUUCCGCUCGGCCUUCAGCCCAGACACGGCCAUCUUCCCUCAUCUCUGGCGGGAGGGGAGCAGGGCCCAGCCCCGUCAAGGUCAAGGUCUAACAAGCGCCAGUGUGAUGCUGGAUCUGCGAUUUCAUGGAGCCAUUCUUUGUGUAGCUGUGAGUCUAGGGCACAGUGUGUCGUUUUUAAAUUGUAAUUUAAAAACAA
Molecule: non-coding RNA, 373 nt
Organism: Oryctolagus cuniculus (rabbit)
Lineage: Eukaryota; Metazoa; Chordata; Mammalia; Lagomorpha; Leporidae
Source: RefSeq, a predicted model, not a curated record